Long non-coding RNA from Macadamia integrifolia, 1256 nucleotides. RefSeq lists it as uncharacterized. The record is from RefSeq and is a predicted model, not a curated record. The transcript has 5 exons. Lineage: Eukaryota; Viridiplantae; Streptophyta; Magnoliopsida; Proteales; Proteaceae.
UCCUGGCUUCUCACCACUUCAGCCGUCGAGCGAAGGCCAUCCGUCGAGCGAAGACCAACUACGGAUGGCCAGCGGCUCCGGUAAGGCCAUGCCUUAUCUCUCUCUUUCUCACAUGGUACUCCUAGGUCUCGCUUUUUGGUCUCUCGACUCUCACCCCUGUUCUCUCUCUAUCGGCAUGUACCUGUUCCACAGACUCAAUCGAGACUAUUAGACCUUAGGUCCUUCUCCUCUUUUCCUCCUUUUUCUUUUCCCUAUGAUGUUUUGCCCACAUAUCUCUGAUCAAACCAUAUCACAGUUUCAAGUUUUUUUACCAAAGGUGUAGAUUGAUUCUCUUUUUUUUUUUUUUUCUUUCCCAUAUUUUUUCAUGGUGGACAUGUCUUUGGAAGAAUCGUAGCUCGGAGAGCAUUUGGAAAACUUGCUUUCUUGACUCUAGAGAUGAUUCAGGGACUAUUCAUCAGGUGCCCAUACAAGUUAACAAGUAGUUGGCAUCCAGUGAUGUAUGAGGAUAGUUGAACCUACAAAGUUGGCAGUACAGCCCCCUCUUUCAGAUGGCUUCUUGUUCACAGAACUGGAUAGUUUACAAGCUUGUUGUAUUGGAUGAUUACAAUUGCAAUGCUCAGUAAAUUCAGCAACCCAAUAUCCCUGAGACUUGUAGUGGCUUGUCUUCAUGGAGUGAGGACCAUUUUUCUCUAUUUUUAUUGAUCAUCGUAUCUUAUGGAGAUGGAUAAAGCUGACUCAGUGGCAAGCAAUCAAGGUGCCCAUAUUUUAUUUCCACUCCUUCAAAGGAGUCUCCCAGAUCCAAACAAUACAGAGUUGACACACUGAAAGAAUGGAUCAGUAAGCUGGGGAAAAAAACUGGUAGAUUCACACAUGGAGUUUGUGAGCAUGUUAGAUUGGGGCCCAAGGUAUCUAUAACUGUGAAGGGAAAAUUGAGGUUGGGUGCCAGAGUUCUUCAAGAAGGUGGUGUUGAGAAGUUAUUCAAGCAGAUCUUCAAAAGUUGAAGGUAAAGAUGACUAUGCUGUAUAUAAAUUGUCUGAGUAUGAUUCAUUCAGUCUACAAAGAGGGGGGGUAUACCCUUGGGUUAAAUUGACUAUGCUGAAGGUGUUGUAGAAUUUUUAAAUCAACAGUUGAACAACAAUAAAAUGGUACUUGGAGCAUAUGAUGUGAUUCUUGAAUGUGCUUCUAUUUGCGUAAUCCUUGGUUUUGUGAAACUUCUCUUGGGUCAUAAGUGUUUAGAAUUGGACUUGAUGGACAUA